Pelobates cultripes (western spadefoot toad) is the source of this 115-nucleotide non-coding RNA. NCBI's taxonomy places the organism in Eukaryota, Metazoa, Chordata, Amphibia, Anura, Pelobatidae. The record is from the annotation of a GenBank genome assembly.
AUAAUAAAUAUUUACCACAUUUCACAAGCCUAAUCGGGCAGAAACACAAAUCAAACAAACAAAUCGUGUUUCUGCCCGAUUAGGCUUGUGAAAUGUGGUAAAUAUUUAUUAUUUA